Molecule: long non-coding RNA, 775 nt
Filed under: Mytilus galloprovincialis (Mediterranean mussel)
Lineage: Eukaryota; Metazoa; Mollusca; Bivalvia; Mytilida; Mytilidae
Source: RNAcentral
UUUUUUAUUUUAUUAAUAUUCUUGAAAUUGCUUCAUAUUUGGUUAUGAUUUUUAAAAAUAUAGGUAAAAAAAAAAAUAGAUUUACAAUUGCAUAAUUUGAAGUCACUUGCCAGAAUUCAAAAGACUUUGACCAGAAUUAAAAUAAAUGAAAAAAUGAAAACAAAACAGAAAAGUGACAACAGAAGAGAAGAAGACAAUUGACACAAUCUCAGAAAAAACGUUGCUAACCAGUAGAAAAUUGUCCAGUCAAGAAGCAAAAAUACAGGUAUUUUUCAAUACCUUGAGAAAUCAGAAAGAGAAGUUAAAGAAUAUGACAUUAUCUUCUAGACCACCCCAAAGCUUGGGCUAAAACAAUUGAGCACAUCAUAUCCACAGCUACACCAAGAUGGUUGUCAGAGUUAAUGAGAACUGAUUGUUUCAUGACAUUUGAAAUAGAGCUUGGAAUAGUGACCAUGGUGACCAGCUUAUCCCUACCACUCAAUUUAUUCAACAACACUACCUGUUAAAGUUUACUCAGGAAUUCAUUCCAUAAAAUUUCUAGAUCUUUAAAUCCUCAAAGACGAACACAUGAAAAUACUUGUGUUUAAGAUAUGAAAUGCUAACAAAAAACUACAGAAAAAUUCCAACAUCUUCAUAAAAACUCCAAACCAACCCAUUUGGAACUUUAAAUUCUUUAUUAAAGGCAAAGGUAUUCAUUUACAUAGAAACACAAACCAGAAAGAAAACUGUUUAUUGAAAGACUAUUUUAUUAACUGAAACUGAGAUCUAACGCAAC